Molecule: ribosomal RNA, 437 nt
Filed under: uncultured Saccharofermentans sp.
Lineage: Bacteria; Bacillati; Bacillota; Clostridia; Eubacteriales; Oscillospiraceae
Description: partial 16S ribosomal RNA
Rfam family: Bacterial small subunit ribosomal RNA
Source: RNAcentral
ACGGGAGGCAGCAGUGAGGAAUAUUGGGCAAUGGGCGAAAGCCUGACCCAGCAACGCCGCGUGAAGGAAGAAGGCCUUCGGGUUGUAAACUUCUUUUACCAGGGACGAAGGACGUGACGGUACCUGGAGAAAAAGCAACGGCUAACUACGUGCCAGCAGCCGCGGUAAUACGUAGGUUGCAAGCGUUGUCCGGAUUUACUGGGUGUAAAGGGCGUGUAGGCGGCUUUUUAAGUCUGAAGUGAAAGUCCUGCUUUCAAGGUGGGAAUUGCUUUGGAGACUGGAAGGCUUGAGUGCGGAAGAGGUAAGUGGAAUUCCCAGUGUAGCGGUGAAAUGCGUAGAGAUUGGGAGGAACACCAGUGGCGAAGGCGACUUACUGGGCCGUAACUGACGCUGAGGCGCGAAAGCGUGGGUAGCAAACAGGAUUAGAUACCCUGGUA